This 513-nucleotide ribosomal RNA is filed under the name Dacus carnesi. RNAcentral's name for it is "partial 16S ribosomal RNA". The stretch from base 389 to 513 matches the Rfam family "Bacterial large subunit ribosomal RNA", at positions 2473 to 2597 of the family's 2925-position model. The record is from RNAcentral. Lineage: Eukaryota; Metazoa; Arthropoda; Insecta; Diptera; Tephritidae.
GUCUUUUUGUGUUAAAUUUAAAGUCUGACCUGCCCACUGAAUUUUAAAUGGCCGCAGUAUUCUAACUGUGCAAAGGUAGCAUAAUCAUUAGUCUUUUAAUUGAGGGCUGGUAUGAAUGGUUGGACGAGGUAUAUGCUGUUUCAUAUAUAUUUAUAUUAGAAUUUUAUAUUUUAGUUAAAAAGCUAAAAUGAAAUUAAAAGACGAGAAGACCCUAUAAAUCUUUAUAUUUAGUAUAAUUUAGAAUUUUUUAGAUUUAUUUUAUUUUUAUUAUAUUGAAUAUUUUGUUGGGGUGAUGUUAAAAUUUAAUAAACUUUUAAUUAAUUUGGUAGUCAUUAAUUUAUGUAUUGUUGAUCCAUUAUUAGUGAUUAUCAGAUUAAGUUACUUUAGGGAUAACAGCGUAAUUUUUUUGGAGAGUUCAUAUCGAUAAAAAAGUUUGCGACCUCGAUGUUGGAUUAAGAGACAGGUUUAGGUGUAGCUGCUUAAAUGUUAAGUCUGUUCGACUUUUAAAUUCUU